Molecule: long non-coding RNA, 1045 nt
Filed under: Capra hircus (goat)
Lineage: Eukaryota; Metazoa; Chordata; Mammalia; Artiodactyla; Bovidae
Description: lncRNA (ENSCHIG00000000739.1)
Source: RNAcentral
CUUCAUUCCGUAUUCCAAGGCCAAAUUUUCCUGUUACCCCAGAUGUUUCUUGACUUCCUACUUUUGCAUUCCAGUCCCCUAUAAUGAAAUGUGGCCCCAUACCCCAUGGCUUAGUUUCAUUGAGUUAGACAAGGCUGUGGUCUGUGUGAUCAGAUUGACUAGUUUUCUGUGAUUAUGGUUUCAGUGUGUCUGACUCCUGAUGCCCUCUCACAACACCUACCAUCUCACUUGGGUUUCUCUUACGUUGGACGUGGGAUAUCUCUUCAUGGCUGCUCCAGCAAAGUGCAGCCGCUGCUCCUUACCUUGGACGAAGGGUACCUCCUCAUGGCUGCCCCUCCUGACCUUGAACGUGGAGUAGCUCCUCUCGGCCCUCUUUGUGCCCACUCUUGUUAUUGCUUUGAAGCUCAGCAAAGAAGGGAAAUCCAUUGAGAACAGUCUGUAAAGGUUGUGUGAAACCAGAACACAAACCAAGCUGGAAAAGACUAUGCCUGUGUUUAGAUGCUGCAAGUCACCUGAUUUCCUCGUUAUUGACAAACCAAAUGAUUUCAUUAUUGGCAGCCUCUAAUGCAAGGAUCACAUGGUUUGAAUGUUUGUCUCUAUGUCUGCAUCUGAGAUCGGGACUGCUGUGUUAUAGAUGAAGACACAGAACACUUCUAGAAAUUACAAAGGCAGCAGGUGCUAUCCAAGAUCAAUACUUUGAUUGUACAGUGUCAUCAUCUUUUUAGAUUCAAGGAUGUUGUUUAUUCACAGUUAUUGAAGACAGUGAGGCUCUAAGAGAAUUGCAGAUCAGCUUGUGGGAGGUGACAUAUACAAUCCAGCAGGGCCUCACUUGACCUCCUUACAUUUGCACCAUUGAAUUUAUGUAGGUCACAGUUAUUGGAGCUAGGCAUUUUUCCUAUGUGAGAAUAGAUUUCAGGUAGGAAGCUUGUACAGAGCCCAUACUUAUGUAUGCCAGGAAACCUUUUGAAUGACUUUCGAGUUAAGCGUUGUAGAGGAGGAAAAACAGGUAGUAGAUAGCCUUGAAUCUCCCAGAAUAAACAUUGAC